AUCCUGCCUCCCUAUCCUAACUCCCACUCCAUACAUCAGCUAUUGUGUUUCAAGCAUGAGCAUGCAUUUGGUUCAUCACUUGCCCGUG
Pangasianodon gigas (Mekong giant catfish) is the source of this 88-nucleotide non-coding RNA. The record is from the annotation of a GenBank genome assembly. Lineage: Eukaryota; Metazoa; Chordata; Actinopteri; Siluriformes; Pangasiidae.